Dama dama (fallow deer) is the source of this 986-nucleotide long non-coding RNA. RefSeq lists it as uncharacterized. The record is from RefSeq and is a predicted model, not a curated record. NCBI's taxonomy places the organism in Eukaryota, Metazoa, Chordata, Mammalia, Artiodactyla, Cervidae. The transcript is spliced from 3 exons.
AAGCAUCUGGCCCUAAUCAGACUUCAAUUUUAGACAGAGUCCUACCUAAAGCUUCCUGUAAUUCAUUACAUCAGAAGACAAAGCACAGUACCGUGACUAUUGAAACAUGCUACAGAUAUAACAAAGAGCAUGAACAGCAAUGAAAGAUGAUCUUGACUAGCUGCCAAGCCCAUCCACUGUCAGGAACCUGAGCUAAAGAGCAUGGAAAUGGCUCUCUGGACAUCAUCACACAUCACUCAUAGGAACAAGAGAGGGAGAAGGAGAGAUCAUCUUUUGAAAGUGAAAGAAGAGCUAGGGGUUUCAAAGAGAAGUGGUCUGCAAUAGCCACUGAAAUGUCAAGCAAGCUGAAUUCUGACAGCAUGAAUUUAUAAUGGAUUAGGUCAUUACAGUUCUCUAUCUUCUCCCAUCAGUGUUAGGAGAAUUAAGUGGUACAGAAUUAAGAAUGUAGAAAUCAAAUAUUGGGCAGAGAUUUAAAGUCGAUCAUUUGCUUAUAGGUUUGGCAAAAAUCUAUCACUGGAUAAAACGGAAAACAAACAAAACCAAGAAUAAUUUUUAAGGGUCCCAACACACUAAAUCACAAAGACAUUCUAAAUAUGGAUGUGCUUCAUGUUUUGAAAUAGCUAAUUAAAAUAUUUCCAGAAAUGUGUACUAUAAAAUUGACCAGAUAUUUCUUAAGGCAUUCCUGGUGUCCCACAAUAAUAUCCUAACUUUCUGAAAUGCCUCACAGCUCACAUACACUGUCAUAUACAUUAUUUCAUUUGAUCUUCACCCACUCAGACUCUACUUAACUUGAGUCAAAAUAAAGAAUUUAGAAUAUCUGAGUUGCUUUCAAGCUUGUCUCUAUCAAUCAUGAGUUUUCUUUCACUCCACCAUUUAUAAUUAAAGCUUAGCAAAACUUAUGGUAAUGUUAUGAGAUAAAGGACAAGAUAAAGGACUAUUAGAUAAGGGACUAGAUCUGAUAGACAGAGUGCCUGAUGAACUAUGGA